AGCGAACGCUGGCGGCAGGCUUAACACAUGCAAGUCGAGCGGGCACUUCGGUGUCAGCGGCAGACGGGUGAGUAACACGUGGGAACGUACCCUUUGGUUCGGAAUAACGCUGGGAAACUAGCGCUAAUACCGGAUACGCCCUUUUGGGGAAAGGCUUGCUGCCGAAGGAUCGGCCCGCGUCUGAUUAGCUAGUUGGUGGGGUAAUGGCCUACCAAGGCGACGAUCCGUAGCUGGUCUGAGAGGAUGAUCAGCCACACUGGGACUGAGACACGGCCCAGACUCCUACGGGAGGCAGCAGUGGGGAAUAUUGGACAAUGGGCGCAAGCCUGAUCCAGCCAUGCCGCGUGAGUGAUGAAGGCCUUAGGGUUGUAAAGCUCUUUUGCCCGGGACGAUAAUGACGGUACCGGAAGAAUAAGCCCCGGCUAACUUCGUG
This 433-nucleotide ribosomal RNA is filed under the name uncultured bacterium. RNAcentral describes it as "partial 16S ribosomal RNA". It matches the Rfam family "Bacterial small subunit ribosomal RNA", at positions 29 to 507 of the family's 1533-position model. The record is from RNAcentral.